CCCCUUUUCUCAGGGAAGAAGCUCUGACGGUACCUGAGGAAUCAGCCUCGGCUAACUCCGUGCCAGCAGCCGCGGUAAUACGGAGGAGGCAAGCGUUAUCCGGAAUUAUUGGGCGUAAAGCGUCCGCAGGUGGCUAUUCAAGUCUGCUGUCAAAGCCCGAAGCUCAACUUUGGAGAGGCAGUGGAAACUGGAAAGCUAGAGAACGGUAGGGGUAGAGGGAAUUCCCAGUGUAGCGGUGAAAUGCGUAGAGAUUGGGAAGAACACCGGUGGCGAAAGCGCUCUACUGGGCCGUAUCUGACACUCAGGGACGAAAGCUAGGGUAGCGAAUGGGAUUAGAUACCCCAGUAGUCCUAGCUGUAAACGAUGGAAACUAGGCGUGGCUUGUAUCGACCCGAGCCGUGCCGAAGCUAACGCGUUAAGUUUCCCGCCUGGGGAGUACGCACGCAAGUGUGAAACUCAAAGGAAUUGACGGGGGCCCGCACAAGCGGUGGAGUAUGUGGUUUAAUUCGAUGCAACGCGAAGAACCUUACCAGGGCUUGACAUGUCGCGAAUCCCGGUGAAAGCUGGGAGUGCCUUCGGGAACGCGAACACAGGUGGUGCAUGGCUGUCGUCAGCUCGUGUCGUGAGAUGUUGGGUUAAGUCCCGCAACGAGCGCAACCCUCGUCCUUAGUUGCCAUCAUUAAGUUGGGCACUCUAGGGAGACUGCCGGUGACAAACCGGAGGAAGGUGGGGAUGACGUCAAGUCAGCAUGCCCCUUACGUCCUGGGCGACACACGUACUACAAUGGUCGAGACAAAGGGCAGCAACUCCGCAAGGACAAGCGAAUCUCAUCAAACUCGGCCUCAGUUCAGAUUGCCGGCUGCAACUCGCCGGCAUGAAGGAGGAAUCGCUAGUAAUCGCAGGUCAGCAUACUGCGGUGAAUCCGUUCCCGGGCCUUGUACACACCGCCCGUCACACCAUGGAAGCUGGCCACGCCCGAAGUCGUUACCCUAACCGUUCGCGGAGGGGGAUGCCGAAGGCAGGGCUAGUGACUGGGGUGAAGUCGUAACAAGGUAGCCGUACCGGAAGGUGUGGCUGGAUCACCUCCUUUUAAGGGAGACCUACCCCAUAAGAAUCCGAAAGAAAAACGAAUAGGAAAUUAUGAGGUCAUCCUAGGUCGAAGGGACUGAUUGAAAAUGC
Molecule: ribosomal RNA, 1179 nt
Filed under: Geitlerinema attenuatum USM NA_GA
Lineage: Bacteria; Bacillati; Cyanobacteriota; Cyanophyceae; Geitlerinematales; Geitlerinemataceae
Description: bacterial SSU rRNA
Rfam family: Bacterial small subunit ribosomal RNA
Source: RNAcentral